Molecule: long non-coding RNA, 2241 nt
Organism: Chelonia mydas (Green sea turtle)
Lineage: Eukaryota; Metazoa; Chordata; Testudines; Cheloniidae
Exons: 5
Source: RefSeq, a predicted model, not a curated record
GAUCCCAGGAGGAUUAGCCUGGCCUGCGAUAUUACUGGGGGGGGCUGUUCACAUGAGCACGUGUUACUAGUUGAACUGAUAUAGUUAGACCAGUAUAAUCACCUGUGCGCGCGCUCUUCUUGUGGACUAAAGUAGCUUUUUUGUUUAGUUUAAAUCCCUUCCGAAACAACAUAACUCGAAUGGGAAAAAGUCUCUUCCACCAGAGACUGGGUGUCUGCCUGAGGCUUUAUUCUGUUGUUGCUAUAUUUAGGCUUGGCAGAAUUUGAUUUUUAUUUUUUUUAUAACUUUGACUGCUAAUAAUUAUGUUUAUUUUAAACAUUUUUUUAAAAUAUUUAAAUUGUCUGACUUCCUUUCCCUGGGACAUUAUGGGUGGUCAGACAAUAAUUACUUAAUGACAGUAGAUCUUGAGAUUCAAAAAGUAAAAGCUUUGUAACUAUUAAAACGCAAUUUGUCAACAUCACAUGUCAAAACAUACUAAGUAAAUAGCCUUACAUGAAACUAAUAAGUUCUCAAGCAGCAGUUCUCUUACUUUUGCCUACAUUUAAAUAUUUAUUUAUAGAAAUAUAUUUUUUGUUUUUAUGGAUACAGUGGAAUUCAUGUUUACUAGCAAAUAGUUUCCAAGCCUAACUAUUGAUUUCAAUUCACACCUUAGCUUACAUGGUAUGACUUUCCUAUGUAGACAAGCCAUUAGUGAAAAGCAGCAAGAAAACAUUAUUUAGGUUAAUCAAGGCUAGAGAAGAGUGUGCAUCUUUCCAGAGGGAUGGAACAAAGCUAUUUAUUAUUACUUAUUUGUGUUACAGCGGUACCUCAGGAUUCCAGCUGAAAUCAGGGCCCCUUUGUCUAGGCGUGGUACAAACAUACAGAAAGAAAGAGUCCCUGCUGAAGACAAAGGGUUGGGGGGAAGUUAUAUGACCUACAAGCAGAGUGAACAAUUUGAUGAUUCACAAAUGUCAUUAGGAAAAAGACCUGGGUAUUACUAUGCACAUCACAGGAGGUGAGAAAGACUGGGACUGGCUGGGCAAGGAGCCUAGGACUGAGAUCGUAGAAGGAGCGGGAGAUAUGGGAAUAUUGAGACACACUGGGGCAAGGACGCUUGUGGGAGACUGAGAUUAUAUGAGGAGGAAUGGAAGAAACAUUUUAAGUCUCUGGCAAAAAGAAGGUGGGAAAAUUGGAAAGGAAGUUAAGAGACAGCACCGCGAGAGGCGCAGGCAGAGUGGACGGGGGAGCAGCAGCAGUCGACUCACCGUGGUGAAGACACCACAAUAAUAGGCCCAAUCCUGAAGACCGUUGAAUUCAGUGGCAUUACUCACAUGAGUGAAGAUUUACAUGAUUGGUUACAAACAUAGGAUUCAAUGUAUUUCAACCCAGAUAUCAAGAUGACCAACAAUUUAUUUUGUAAAAUAUUUUUGUGAGUAGUUUCCCUGUUGUCAGCUCUUGUGAUUUUUAUCAUGAGCCUCAAAAUUUUUGAUGUUUUUCUUAAAGCCAAGAUCCUGGUGUCAGGUGAUUACAAGAGAAUCUCAGCUUUCAUUUAAAAAAUAAAAGUAAGAUUCUGGCUCUCAUGGCUGUGGAGAAAAGCUUGAAAAUGUGAACCCUGAGGGCUAAAAGACAAGGGAAAAGAAUGCCAAAUAUUUUUUCAAUCAUUAUUUUUACACGAAUGUUAUGAUUAUUUUGGGACCUGAUUCAUGAUUUUUGGACAUAUGGGGUUAGCAGUAAUCUAGUUACUUUUUGUCACGGAAAUAAAAAUAAGCAUACAUCUGCUUAGAUUCUUCUUACCAUGAAGACCUAUGAAAGACCCAACAGAUGACAUGAUUAACUUUCUUUAUAUCUCCUUCAUCAAUCUCCUCUCCAAUAUUUCCUCUCUUCCCACCCCCACCCCCCAGCCCUUUGGUUUUUCAUGGUUUCAGUCCCAAAUGAGGCAUAUUACAGGUGUAUCUAAGUUUUGCCUUGAAUAUUUUUUAUACCACAAUGAUGCAUAUGUUACUUUUUGGAUUCUGUCUAGCUAAGUGUUUGUAUCAUUUGGGGCUCUCUGGGAUGCAAACCCAUGUAGAUGGAAAUAAGCAAAGUAAAUGGAUGCUUUAAUCCACUGCAAAUCAGAAGUGUCAAUUUUACACAGAUCUGUUAUCAUAGAUGAGAGAUUUUAAGGCCAGAAGGAGUCAUUGGAUCAUCUAGUUUGAUUUCCUAUAUAUCAGUGGUUCUCAAAGCCAGUCCGCUGCUUGUUCAGGAAAAGCCCCUGGCGGGCCG